AAAAAAAAUGAAGUGUUGACUUCAUAUUUAUUAUGAAAUUUUUUGAAGUGAAGUUCAAUUGUUUUUUCUUUAAAAAAGGAUGGAUUUUCUCUAAGUGUUUAAACCUAAACGCUUAUCUAACCAUACAAUCCUAUGCAUACAUCUAAGGUGAGUGUGUGCGUGUCGGUGCGUCAUAGUAUCCAUAGUCCAUAUUACAAAAAUUGCCUAAAUACAUUCUAUGGCCUCUUUGCCAAGCUACAAACCAAUGGUAACAAAUUACAUCACUAAAUGGAUUAAAACUUGCAAAAAUGAAUACUAAACUAAAGGAAGUGAAGGAGAUAGUGGUGACAUGGAGAAAUGCUCAUGAAAUGAAUGGAACAAAAGAAAUGAGGUGAUUAGUAAAAUAAAGCAUNG
RNAcentral lists this long non-coding RNA (393 nucleotides) under Medicago truncatula (barrel medic). RNAcentral describes it as "long non-coding RNA (MTRU_LNC001520)". The record is from RNAcentral. Lineage: Eukaryota; Viridiplantae; Streptophyta; Magnoliopsida; Fabales; Fabaceae.